This 23-nucleotide non-coding RNA is filed under the name Arabidopsis thaliana (thale cress). The record is from RNAcentral. RNAcentral also lists the same sequence under 1 other name. Lineage: Eukaryota; Viridiplantae; Streptophyta; Magnoliopsida; Brassicales; Brassicaceae.
CGAAAUCCGCUAAGGAGUGUGUA